Molecule: ribosomal RNA, 1243 nt
Filed under: metagenome
Description: bacterial LSU rRNA
Rfam family: Bacterial large subunit ribosomal RNA
Source: RNAcentral
UGAAUACGAGAUGCUACGGCGUCGAAGCAGUGUAUGUCAGACUUCCAAGAAAAGCUCGCAAUGUCAUAAAUAAAGAAUGCCUGUACCAUAACCGACACAGGUGGGUAGGUAGAGUAUACUAAGGGGCGCGAGAUAACUCUCUCUAAGGAACUCGGCAAAAUAACUCCGUAACUUCGGGAGAAGGAGUGCCUUCUUUAAGAAGGUUGCAAUAACAAGAUCCAAGCAACUGUUUAUCAAAAACACAGGUCUCCGCUAAGUCGUAAGACGAUGUAUGGGGGCUGACGCCUGCCCAGUGCCAGAAGGUUAAAGAAGUUGGUUAGCUUUUGCGAAGCUGAUGACUGAAGCCCUGGUGAACGGCGGCCGUAACUAUAACGGUCCUAAGGUAGCGAAAUUCCUUGUCGGGUAAGUUCCGACCCGCACGAAAGGCGUAAUGAUUUGGAUACUGUCUCGGAGAGGGACUCGGUGAAAUAGACUUGUCUGUGAAGAUGCGGACUACCUGCACCAGGACAGAAAGACCCUAUGAGGCUUUACUGUAACUUGAAAUUGAAAUUGGACUUUAUUUGCGCAGUAUAGGUGGAACGCGUUGAAAGUAAUCUUGCGGGAUUAGUGGAGCCACCAGUGAGAUACCACUCCUAUAAUGUUAGAUUUCUAACUUUGGAUCAUGAUCUGGCCAAAGAACAGUUUCAGGCGGGCAGUUUGACUGGGGCGGUCGCCUCCCAAAUGGUAACGGAGGCGUACAAAGGUUUCCUCUGAACGGGUAGAAAUCGUAUCUAGAGUGUAAAGGCAUAAGGAAGCUUGACUGUGAGACCUACAAGUCGAGCAGGGACGAAAGUCGGUCUUAGUGAUCUGACGGUGCUGAGUGGAAAGGCCGUCACUCAACGGAUAAAAGUUACUCUAAGGGUAACAGGCUGAUCUCCCCCAAGAGUUCACAUCGACGGGGAGGUUUGGCACCUCGAUGUCGGCUCAUCGCAUCCUGGGGCGGUAGUACGUCUCAAGGGUUGGGCUGUUCGCCCAUGAAAGCGGUACGCGAGCUGGGUUCAGAACGUCGUGAGACAGUUCGGUCCAUAUCCGGUGUAGGCGUUAGAAUAUUGAGAGGAGCCUUCUUUAGUACGAGAGGACCGAGAAGGACAUACCUCUGGUGUACCAGUUAUCGUGCCAACGGUAAACGCUGGGUAGCUAUGUAUGGAGAGGAUAACCGCUGAAAGCAUCUAAGUGGGAAGCCCACCUCAAGAUGAGUAUUCCC